AGUGAACGCUGGCGGUAGGCCUAACACAUGCAAGUCGAACGGCAGCACAGUAAGAGCUUGCUCUUACGGGUGGCGAGUGGCGGACGGGUGAGGAAUACAUCGGAAUCUACUUUUUCGUGGGGGAUAACGUAGGGAAACUUACGCUAAUACCGCAUACGACCUACGGGUGAAAGCAGGGGGUCUUCGGACCUUGCGCGAUUGAAUGAGCCGAUGUCGGAUUAGCUAGUUGGCGGGGUAAAGGCCCACCAAGGCGACGAUCCGUAGCUGGUCUGAGAGGAUGAUCAGCCACACUGGAACUGAGACACGGUCCAGACUCCUACGGGAGGCAGCAGUGGGGAAUAUUGGACAAUGGGCGCAAGCCUUAUCCAGCCAUACCGCGUGGGUGAAGAAGGCCUUCGGGUUGUAAAGCCCUUUUGUUGGGAAAGAAAAGCAGCAGGUUAAUACCCCGCUGUUCUGACGGUACCCAAAGAAUAAGCACCGGCUAACUUCGUG
Molecule: ribosomal RNA, 492 nt
Filed under: uncultured bacterium
Lineage: Bacteria
Description: partial 16S ribosomal RNA
Rfam family: Bacterial small subunit ribosomal RNA
Source: RNAcentral